CCUACGGGUGGCAGCAGUGAGGAAUAUUGGUCAAUGGGCGCGAGCCUGAACCAGCCAAGCAGCGUGAAGGAUGACUGCCCUACGGGUUGUAACUUUCUUUUAUAAAGGAAUAAAGUGUGACACGCGUGCCUGUAUGAACGCACUUUAUGAAUAAGGAUCGGCUCACUCCUUGCCAGCAGCCGCGGUAAUACUGAGGAUCCGAGCGUUAUCCGGAUUUCUUGGGCUUAAAGGGAGCGUGGGUGGGUUGUUAAGUCAGUUGUGCACGUUUGGGGCUCAACCGCUGAAUUGCAAUUGAUACUGGCAGUCUUGAGUACAGUUGCGGUAGGCGGAAUUCGUAGUGUAGCGGUGAAAUGCGUAGAUAUCACGAAGAACACCGGUGGCGAAGGCAGCUUACUAAACUGCAACUGACACUGCGGCGCGAAAGUGUGGGGAGCAAACAGGAUUAGAUACCCCAGUAGUC
This 460-nucleotide ribosomal RNA is filed under the name uncultured bacterium. RNAcentral's name for it is "partial 16S ribosomal RNA". It matches the Rfam family "Bacterial small subunit ribosomal RNA", at positions 338 to 795 of the family's 1533-position model. The record is from RNAcentral.